AAUCAUCAGCGGUGCCUAUCUGUUUUGUACUUGGAGGGAUCCCUUGAAGAGGCUGCAUGUGUAUUAAUGUGACAGGCAGCACUGCUGAAGCAGGGACCUGGCAGAAGAGACCUGGCUGUACAAAUUUUGCCUCAUUUACAUAUCUUUUCUCUCCAGAUGUCUCCUUGCUGGGAUGGUGGCAACCCACCUGUGCUGCAGGGCCGCCAAAGGCCAGCCCUGGCGGUGGCGCCAGCAUCAGGAAGGUGUUGUCAGGGAAAGGCCCUGGGCUAGCACUCGCCUGCUGUUGGAACUAGUUGGAGCUACCAGAGACUCUUGGUAGAGCUGGCAAAGCUUGCAUUGUGUCUCAUCCCUUCAAUAUGGAGCAAACUUCUGGCGGUCAGAUUUCUUAACCCCACUCGUCGAAGGAAUUUUGGCAGUGAAGAGAGGAGACUGGACAAUGAUUGGAUUUGCUAGGACGAGAGGAGACUGGACAACAAUUGGAUGCUUUCAUCUAAGGCAUAAAGUUCUGGUGGGUGGGGGUUUGUUUUGGUUUGGUUUAGAAAGGUCGUUUUUCAUUUCAUCAGCUGUUGAAGUCAUUGUGCAUUUCCCACAUAAACCAAACCUGAUUAGCCAGCA
Molecule: long non-coding RNA, 615 nt
Organism: Pogoniulus pusillus (Red-fronted tinkerbird)
Lineage: Eukaryota; Metazoa; Chordata; Aves; Piciformes; Lybiidae
Exons: 3
Source: RefSeq, a predicted model, not a curated record